UUCGUGACUAGGAUUCCUGUAACGACAAUGCGACGUGCCUCAUUUCUUUGACUUCGUAACGCAACAAAUUGUGUAACACGUUACAUAUGCACAUAUCGUCCGUGAUGUAAAACAGUAGAUAUCUGCGUGUACAUCUCAAGACUCUUACAUUCCAACAGAAGUCACAAGAUGCCAGAUGCAUCAAGGAAAUGGCAGUGGUCAUCGAGAAAUUUUGCGAAAUUUUGCAUAGAACCUGCAAUUGUGGACUUUUUUCUGUGAAUCGAGCAGUCAACCGCGAUUUCUCUUUUCAAGAGGGAUCAAGGAUAACCGAAGGCAACGAUCAUCGAUAGGAAAUAAUAACCACACGUGUGUUUAAUGUUUUACGAUAAGAUCCAGACCUAGCAACAGAGGUGAAUAAAAAAAUUGUGGUCCAAGCAUAAAAAGAAUGAGGAAAGAGAAUGUUUCGAAGACGGAAACGAAAAGGAAAUUUCACUGCGGCCGAGAUGAACGUGUUAAUUGGUUUGUCUGAUUUACUUUCCUGGCCUGUCUGGUUGUGACUUUUAAAAAAGUCGUAGCUUUAAAAAAAGUUUUGCGAGAAAGGCUGUCGAGAUUAUGAUAAAGUGAAAAUAUUUCGCGAUGUUGAAAUCGUUGAAAAUGUAAAACAACAGGAAUAUUUUUUUCACUUUGAAUAUGGAAGAACCUUAAUAACAAAGACUAAAGAAAUUCUUCAGAAAAAUC
Long non-coding RNA from Frieseomelitta varia, 717 nucleotides. RefSeq lists it as uncharacterized. The transcript has 4 exons. NCBI's taxonomy places the organism in Eukaryota, Metazoa, Arthropoda, Insecta, Hymenoptera, Apidae. The record is from RefSeq and is a predicted model, not a curated record.